Molecule: ribosomal RNA, 461 nt
Filed under: Piezodorus lituratus (gorse shieldbug)
Lineage: Eukaryota; Metazoa; Arthropoda; Insecta; Hemiptera; Pentatomidae
Description: eukaryotic LSU rRNA
Rfam family: Eukaryotic large subunit ribosomal RNA
Source: RNAcentral
UCUAGCGUGUGCGCGAGUCAUUGGGUGUAAAACCUAAAGGCGCAAUGAAAGUGUCAGGGGUGCCUCCUUCAGGAGCGCAUCCCGUUGGGAGGAUGGGCCCCCGUGCGAUCACUCGCCGGAGCCCCGCACUCCCGGGGCGUCUCGUUCUCAUCACGAGUGGAGACGCACCAGGAGCGCACACGCUGGUACCCGAAAGAUGGUGAACUAUGCCUGGCCAGGACGAAGCCAGGGGAAACCCUGGUGGAGGUCCGAAGCGAUUCUGACGUGCAAAUCGAUCGUCUGAGCUGGGUAUAGGGGCGAAAGACCAAUCGAACCAUCUAGUAGCUGGUUCCCUCUGAAGUUUCCCUCAGGAUAGCUGGCUCUCGGGAAGAGACGAGUCUCAUCCGGUAGAGCGAAUGAUUAGAGGUGAUGGGGUCGAAACGACUUCAACCUAUUCUCAAACUCCCAAUAGAUGAGAGCCC